GCUGCGGUGGCCGAGUGGUCUAAGGCGGCAGAUUUAAGCUCUGCUCUCGAGAGAGGCGCGAGUUCAAACCUCGUCCGCAGCA
This 82-nucleotide transfer RNA is filed under the name Fulvia fulva CBS 131901. RNAcentral describes it as "tRNA-Leu (TAA) (tRNA-Leu-TAA-1-1)". It matches the Rfam family "tRNA". Rfam says of the family: Transfer RNA (tRNA) molecules are approximately 80 nucleotides in length. Their secondary structure includes four short double-helical elements and three loops (D, anti-codon, and T loops). The record is from RNAcentral. Lineage: Eukaryota; Fungi; Ascomycota; Dothideomycetes; Mycosphaerellales; Mycosphaerellaceae.